CAGUCGCCACGGGAAUACGGAGGGAGCUAGCGUUGUUCGGAAUUACUGGGCGUAAAGCGCACGUAGGCGGCUAUUCAAGUCAGGGGUGAAAGCCCGGGGCUCAACCCCGGAACUGCCUUUGAAACUAGAUAGCUUGAAUCUUGGAGAGGCGAGUGGAAUUCCGAGUGUAGAGGUGAAAUUCGUAGAUAUUCGGAAGAACACCAGUGGCGAAGGCGACUCGCUGGACAAGUAUUGACGCUGAGGUGCGAAGCGUGGGGAGCAAACAGGAUUAGAUACUCCUGUAGUCCCUGUCUCUUAUACA
This 301-nucleotide ribosomal RNA is filed under the name uncultured bacterium. RNAcentral describes it as "partial 16S ribosomal RNA". It matches the Rfam family "Bacterial small subunit ribosomal RNA", at positions 509 to 808 of the family's 1533-position model. The record is from RNAcentral.